Molecule: ribosomal RNA, 253 nt
Filed under: uncultured bacterium
Lineage: Bacteria
Description: partial 16S ribosomal RNA
Rfam family: Bacterial small subunit ribosomal RNA
Source: RNAcentral
UACAGAGGUCUCAAGCGUUGUCCGGAUUUAUUGGGCGUAAAGAGCGUGUAGGCGGCUUGGCAAGUCCGCUGUGAAAACUCGAGGCUCAACCUCGAGACGUCGGUGGAAACUGCCUGGCUAGAGUCCGGAAGAGGAGAGUGGAAUUCCUGGUGUAGCGGUGAAAUGCGCAGAUAUCAGGAGGAACACCAAUGGCGAAGGCAGCACUCUGGGACGUGACUGACGCUGAGACGCGAAAGCGUGGGGAGCGAACAGG